This 1433-nucleotide ribosomal RNA is filed under the name uncultured organism. RNAcentral describes it as "SSU rRNA". It matches the Rfam family "Bacterial small subunit ribosomal RNA". The record is from RNAcentral.
UUAACACAUGCAAGUCGAGGGGCAGCAUUUUAGUUUGCUUGCAAACUGAAGAUGGCGACCGGCGCACGGGUGAGUAACACGUAUCCAACCUGCCGAUAACUCCGGGAUAGCCUUUCGAAAGAAAGAUUAAUACCGGAUAGCAUACGAAUAUCGCAUGAUAUUUUUAUUAAAGAAUUUCGGUUAUCGAUGGGGAUGCGUUCCAUUAGUUUGUUGGCGGGGUAACGGCCCACCAAGACUACGAUGGAUAGGGGUUCUGAGAGGAAGGUCCCCCACAUUGGAACUGAGACACGGUCCAAACUCCUACGGGAGGCAGCAGUGAGGAAUAUUGGUCAAUGGGCGCGAGCCUGAACCAGCCAAGUAGCGUGAAGGAUGAAGGCUCUAUGGGUCGUAAACUUCUUUUAUAUGGGAAUAAAGUUUUCCACGUGUGGAAUUUUGUAUGUACCAUAUGAAUAAGGAUCGGCUAACUCCGUGCCAGCAGCCGCGGUAAUACGGAGGAUCCGAGCGUUAUCCGGAUUUAUUGGGUUUAAAGGGAGCGUAGGUGGAUUGUUAAGUCAGUUGUGAAAGUUUGCGGCUCAACCGUAAAAUUGCAGUUGAAACUGGCAGUCUUGAGUACAGUAGAGGUGGGCGGAAUUCGUGGUGUAGCGGUGAAAUGCUUAGAUAUCACGAAGAACUCCGAUUGCGAAGGCAGCUCACUAGACUGUCACUGACACUGAUGCUCGAAAGUGUGGGUAUCAAACAGGAUUAGAUACCCUGGUAGUCCACACAGUAAACGAUGAAUACUCGCUGUUUGCGAUAUACAGUAAGCGGCCAAGCGAAGGCAUUAAGUAUUCCACCUGGGGAGUACGCCGGCAACGGUGAAACUCAAAGGAAUUGACGGGGGCCCGCACAAGCGGAGGAACAUGUGGUUUAAUUCGAUGAUGCGCGAGGAACCUUACCCGGGCUUAAAUUGCAACAGAAUAUAUUGGAAACAGUAUAGCCGUAAGGCUGUUGUGAAGGUGCUGCAUGGUUGUCGUCAGCUCGUGCCGUGAGGUGUCGGCUUAAGUGCCAUAACGAGCGCAACCCUUAUCUUUAGUUACUAACAGGUCAUGCUGAGGACUCUAGAGAGACUGCCGUCGUAAGAUGUGAGGAAGGUGGGGAUGACGUCAAAUCAGCACGGCCCUUACGUCCGGGGCUACACACGUGUUACAAUGGGGGGUACAGAAGGCGGCUACCUGGUGACAGGAUGCUAAUCCCAAAAACCUCUCUCAGUUCGGAUCGAAGUCUGCAACCCGACUUCGUGAAGCUGGAUUCGCUAGUAAUCGCGCAUCAGCCAUGGCGCGGUGAAUACGUUCCCGGGCCUUGUACACACCGCCCGUCAAGCCAUGAAAGCCGGGGGUACCUGAAGUACGUAACCGCAAGGAGCGUCCUAGGGUAAAACUGGUAAUUGGGCUAAA